CCCAGAGAGCACUCCCACACAGCCACCCACUUCCCACCAUCCCCUGUCAGCAGGCAAAGAGCUCCAGAUUCUUCCUCUGGGACACUACAACUAACCAAGGGUCUAUCAAUUCCUAUCCACCCCCAAGCCCUCACCAGGGAUGGGAAGAAAAGGAAGCCAAAAGGGAGAAGCCAGCGACGGAAGAGGCAAAUUAGGAGUGUCCCCACACUGAAGGGAAAAGAAGUUCAGGAAGAAGGGCAUGGGGAGCAGCAGUUGCCGCUGCUGAGAGGUGAAGAGGAUGCCUGCGAAGAGGGUGAUGAGCUGAGGAACUUCCAGAAAUCAUCCUCAGGGGAUGGCAGGGGCCUGGGAGCAAGCUGGAGGCAGACACAGCCUCCUCUUGUGAGACUAUGUGAGAGGCAGGGUCUGAGGCAGUCUCUUAUGAUGCAGGAGAAAGGCAUGGAGACGGCUCAGCCCAUGUCAGGACUGUCAAUCCUCCCUGUUGGCAAACACAUGGAACCUGGGGGUAGCUGCCUUCCCUCCUGAUAGCCCUCCCUACACUGCACUCUCCUGGCCCUGCCUCUGAUUACAGAACACACCUGGGCACUGGCUGAGGGUCCCUGUUCCUGCAGAUAUUCUUGUGAUGGCCUCUGCCCUCAUGGGUAAGCAAGCACAGGUGAAUUACCUCUGGCCACCUCAGCCCUUGCAAAGGGCUGACCAGAGCAUGACAGCCAGGGAUACCCCUCCAAGAGCUGUCUUGUGAGCACAGAGGAUUGUGGGUGUUUUAAAUGUCUUCAUGACAUUAAUUAAUCCAGCAAAUAUUUAUUCACCACCUCUUGUGUGCCAGGCACUACUCUAGGUGCUAUUGAUACAGCAGUGAGUUUUAAAAAAAAAAGUCUAUGCCUUCAAGGAUCCUACAUUCUUGUGGGAAAGACAGGUAAUAAACAAGUAGACAUAAAAAUGGCAGGUGCUGAGAAGUGCUCUGAAGAAAAAUACAACAAGGUGAGGGGGACAGGGAGUGCAGGAUGCGAGUGAUUUUUUUCUGUUUCCCAUAUCAGGAUGGCCUCUCUGAAGAGUUGACAAGUGAGCAGAGGCUUAAAUAAGUGAAAGAGUGAAGAAUGGUCCAGGCAGUGGGAAAAACCAAGCAGAAGCAGGAGGUAGGAGGGUGUUUGGCAUAGUUCAAGGAACAGCAAGGAGGCUCAGUGUACCUGGAGUGAAUAGGCUGAAAGAGAGGGAUAGGAACUAACCCAGAGAGGGUUAGGCUUUGAGUCACAAUGAGGACUCUGAUGUUACUCUGAGCAGGGGGUUUGAACACAGAAGUGACACAUCUGAUUUUCACGUAAAAGACUGACCAUGGCAACUGUGGGGAGAAGAAACUGCCAGAUGACCCCUCUGUUCUUAGAAUUAUGUUGCUCUUCUAAAAAUAGAGCUAGAAAGUCAAAUCCCACAAGUGUAGGUUGGUGCUCAAGUGGCUGAGUACAAGAAUAAUAGAAGAAAAGCUGAGAGUCGGAGUCGGCCACAACCUAAACAUGAAUUAGGAGUGUCAUGCCACGGGGAAAAUCAAAAGCUAGACAAUCCUGGGAUGUGUUGGUAUAGCCAUCGGACACGCAAAGACUGGGACACUGACUUCGUGCAUGUUUGGCAUAAACGGGCUUCCUGCCAUGCCUUCUGUUUGCAAUGUUUCCCACUUGUCCUGCAGCCCAGGCUGUACACAGGCCUGUCUCCCUCCACAAGCGCUUCUUCCCAGUGUUUUUCCUUCCCUUCUGUCUGUGUCUUUUGUGCUGUCAUUCAGUCAGCAACCACCAUGUAUAAAACUUAAUGAGCAGUGCCAUGGGAGAGUCUCUGGUAAGUGCUUGGAGCUCAAAUCCUUUGUUAAUUGUAUCUAGAGAGCUAUGUCUGCUAUUGGCACAAAUCUCUCUUUUUAGUCCCUUCAAGUUUAUUCUCUAACUGUGGACUUUUCUCCACCUCUUACAAUUGUACUCUUGGUGGAUUUUCCUAUUUAUGAAGCUCUAUGGAAGAUAUGCCCUGCCAGAGAAAAGAUCUUCUCUACUGUCAAGAAUCACUGGUUUCAGUUGGGUCAGGACUGACAACCUAGCUUCUGUGUAUAGACAAGUGAAGACAAAAAGGGCUAGGGUUGGCAGAAUUGUGCAGGGAGUCAAUGUGUCAUCUUUAACGCCUCUACAUUCACCUCUAAGCAGGGCCCUUUUUUUCUGACAAGCUAGGGCCCUAUGUGAAUCAAUGCAAGGCUUAAGCUUGAAGUACCUAUAGCCAAUCCCUGUCCCCUUUCCUGAUAGGUAAUGGCAUCCAGAAAGAAUGAAACCUUGAAGCAGGAGACAUUGGGUGGCUGAGUCAGGGUGUGGGACUUGAGCCAGUUUCCACUCUGCAAAGAUCAGGGAACAAGCACCCUCUCCCUCUUCCCCAGCCUGGAGAUGCUAGCCAUGAGAACUCAGAGGGGUCUCUGGCCUGGCACUCAACCUCCUGCUCCAGAGCCCCAGGGAGAGUAUUGGGGACUGGAAGAACCAAGCCAAAGGCUCUGAGAAGCCACAGUGGCUGGGGAUUGAGGUUCUGAGCCCAAAAACUUUGCCAGAGAGCCAUAUAGUAACUCCAUAACCCCCAACUCCCUGGAGCUAGAGGAAAGUAAUGAAGGGAGGCUAGGUCCAAGAACUGCUAGACCAGUCCUGGUGGUACACAUCCUCAGGUACUUUCCCACAUAAUUGUCUUAACAACCUGUGAGGUAUUAUCAGAGGUAUUCAAAACAGAGCAACUCCAUCUUGAAUAGGGGCUGAGUAAAAUAAGGCUGAGACCUACUGGGGUGCAUUCCCAGGAGGUUAAGGCAUUCUUAGUCACAGAAGGACAUAGAAGUUCAGCACAAGAUACAGGUCACAAAGACCUUGCUGAUAAAAUGGGAUGCACUAAAGAAGCCAGCCAGUCCGGAUGCAGUGGCUCACACCUCUAAUCCCAGUACUUUGGGAGGCCAAGGCGGGUGGAUCACCUGAGGUCAGGAGUUUGAGAUCAGCCUGGCCAACAUGGUGAAACCCCAUCUCUACUAAAAAUACAAAAAUUAGCUGGGCAUGGUGGUGCACACCUGUAAUCCCAGGUACUCGGGAGGCUGAGGCAGGAGAAUCGCUUGAACUCAGAAGGCAGAGGUUGCAGUGGGAAAAUCGCGCCAUUACACUCCAGCCUGGGUGACAAGAGUGAAACUUCGUCUCAAAAAAAAAACAGAAGCCAGCCAAAACCAACCAAAACCAAGAUAGCAAUGAGAGUGACCUCUGGUCAUCCUCACUGCUCAUACACUAAUUGUAAUGCAUUAGCUGCUAAAAGACACCCCCACCAGCCCCAUGGCAGUUACAAAUGCCAUGGCCAUGUAGGAAGUUACCCUGUAUGGUCUAAAAUGGGGAGGAAUCCUCAGUUUUGGGAAUUCCCCACCCCUUUCCCAGAAAACUCAUGAAUAAAUGAAUAAUCCACCCCUAGUUUAGCAUAUAAUCAAGAAAUAACCAUAAAAAUGGUCAACCAGGCCGGGCGCGGUGGCUCACGCCUGUAAUCCCAGCACUUUGGGAGGCCGAAGCGGGCGGAUCACAAGGUCAGGAGAUCGAGACCAUCCUGGCUAACACGGUGAAACCCCAUCUCUACUAAAAAUACAAAAAAAUUAGCCGGGCGUGGUGGCAGGUGCCUGUAGUCCCAGCUACUUGGGAGGCUGAGGCGGGAGAAUGGUGUGAACCCGGGAGGCAGAGUUUGCAGUGAGCCAAGAUUGCACCACUGCACUCCAGCCUGGGCGACAGAGCGAGACUCCAUCUCAAAAAAAAAAAAAAAAAAAGGGUCAACCAGCAGCCCAAGCCUAGGGAGUAGCCAUUCUUUAUUCCUUUGCUUUCUUAAUAAACUGGUUUUUUGUUUGUUUGUUUGUUUUGUUUUGUUUUGAGACAGAGUUUCACUCUUGUCGCCCAGGCUGGAGUGCAAUGGCAUGAUCUCAGCUCAAUGCAACCUCCAUCCCCCCAUGUUCAAGCAAUUCUCCUGCCUUAGCCUCCUGAGUAGCUGGGGUUACAGGUGCACGCCACCACACCUGGCUAAUUUUUUUUUGUAUUUUUAGUACAGACGGAGUUUCACCAUGUUGAUCAGGUUGGUUUUAAACUCC
This 4105-nucleotide long non-coding RNA is filed under the name Macaca mulatta (Rhesus monkey). RNAcentral's name for it is "lncRNA (ENSMMUG00000059196.1)". Lineage: Eukaryota; Metazoa; Chordata; Mammalia; Primates; Cercopithecidae. The record is from RNAcentral.